Molecule: non-coding RNA, 116 nt
Filed under: unclassified sequences
Description: drum RNA
Rfam family: drum RNA
About the family: Firmicutes, Bacteroidetes (1 example), Proteobacteria (2 examples), Spirochaetes (2 examples). Terminator (Clostridia)
Source: Rfam by way of RNAcentral
AAGCGAAGAAGUAAGGUUUGUUGUGCCAGAGGACAGUACCUUACGAGCUUUAUAAGGGUUUGGCAUUUACCACAAUCUGGCUAGAGAAUGCAGACUCUCAAAAGAAAAUGCCAGAG